This 2775-nucleotide long non-coding RNA is filed under the name Salvia miltiorrhiza (redroot sage). RNAcentral describes it as "long non-coding RNA (SMIL_LNC006448)". The record is from RNAcentral. Lineage: Eukaryota; Viridiplantae; Streptophyta; Magnoliopsida; Lamiales; Lamiaceae.
GUUUUCACUCUUGGUCCACCGCGAUGACGAAAAACAGCUCUUGUGAGGAAGAUCCAACAUCUCUGAGCAGCGUCCUCCUACACCCACCUUCCGCCAUUGAUUCGCCGUCAAUUCGGCACAGAUUUGGCAGCGAUUGGCCAUAUUGUGAGGAAGGAACUGAGAGCGAAGGCUCCCCCGUUCACCCCGCCGCCUCCACCGACUCUCCGUCGAUUCNGUUAUUGUUUAUUGUUAUUAUUAUUAUUAUCCUUAUUAUAUUAUUAUCUUAUUAUUGUUAUUAUUAUUGUUAUUAUUAUUAUUAUUAUUAUUAUUAUUAUUAUUAUUAUUAUUAUUAUUAUUAUUAUUAUUAUUAUUAUUAUUAUUAUUAUUAUUAUUAUUAUUAUUAUUAGUUAUUAUUUGUUAUUAUUGUUAUUGUUAUUAUUAUUAUUAUUAUUAUUAUUAUUAUUAUUAUUAUUAUUAUUAUUAUUAUUAUUAUUAUUAUUAUUAUUAUUAUUAUUAUUAUUAUUAUUAUUAUUAUUAUUAUUAUUAUUAUUAUUAUUAUUAUUAUUAUUAUUAUUAUUAUUAUUAUUAUUAUUAUUAUUAUUAUUAUUAUUAUUAUUAUUAUUAUUAUUAUUAUUAUUAUUAUUAUUAUUAUUAUUAUUAUUAUUAUUAUUAUUAUUAUUAUUAUUAUUAUUGUUAUUGUUAUUAUUAUUAUUAUCCUUAUUAUAUUAUUAUCCUUAUUAUUGUUGUUAUUAUUAUUAUUAUUAUUAUUAUUAUUAUUAUUGUUAUUGUUAUUAUUAUUGUUAUUAUUAUUAUUAUUAUUAUUAUUAUUAUUAUUAUUAUUAUUAUUAUUAUUAUUAUUAUUAUUAUCAAAUAGCUAAUGAAAGAUUAGUAAAAGUAAUCACAAUACAUAAACACUACCCUUUUAGUCUUUUACACGACCUUUAAUUAACCUUAAUCCAUCCCUUAUUAUUUGCCAAAGUAGAAACGAGCCAUUAUGGGUGGACCAAAAGAAAUACGUGCCAUGAAUAGCAGGACGGAGGGAGUACUAUAUUUAUAUCUAAAUGACACUAAUUUUCUUAGUAAAUGUGACCUUUAAUAUAUUAAAAUUAUACUUUUAGAUGUGGUUGAGAAUAGCCUUGGCAAAAUAAAAUAAAACAAUAAUUAAAAACUUAAAAGAACAAAAAAAGCUGGAAAAUCACAGCAAAAUUUUGCAAAAAAAAAAUCGAAAAGAACAAAAAAAGAGCGUUGAAAACUAGAAAAUAAAAUUAAAAAUAAUAAUAAUUAAAAACUUAAAAGAACAAAAAAAGCUGGAAAAUCACAGCAAAAUUUCGCACAAAAAAAAAUAAAAAAAAUCGAAAAGAACAAAAAAAAGAACGCUGAAAACUGGAAAAAAAAUUUACCAGUGGGUUUCGAACCAAUAACCCACCCAUUUAUAAUGAAGCGCUUAACAAACUGAACUAGGUAGUUAUUUGCCAUAAACUCUAUUCCGAUUUUAUUUAUACUAUAAAUGCGUUAAUUCUAAUAUUUUUUAAAAAUACAUAAGUUGGAUUCGAAUCUGGGUCGGGUAACCCCAAGAUCCGUGCUCACAUUUUGUUCAGCGCGCACGUAAGUAUGCCUCAACUAACAAAAUGAAACAAGUUGAAAUAUAUUAAGAGUUAAAAUGGACGAAAUAGACCUACUGUAUAAAUUACAUAAUAUGCCUCCAUAUACAUACGAAUUACAUAAAUAUAUCAAUUUAGAUUUACAUAAAAUUAAUUUUAUCUGCUUUUAUUUUACAUCACUACAUUAAUUAUAAAUUUAUCUUUGAUUUUAUAUUAACCAUUAAAAGAAUGAUUUUUCAAUUUUUUUUAUAUUAAUUUGUACUUCAUCCGUCCCAUUAAUAAUACUCUCUUCGUCCCAUUAAAACUGGCCACGUUUUUUUUUUUGGUUUGUCCCACUAUUUCUGUCUACUUUCUAAAAUAAGUUAAAAUUGCACUUUAUUAGAGUCACUAAUUAACUCAUUAAUUAAACACUAAUUAUAACCUAUUUAACUCUACUUUUUUUCAUUAUUCAAUCUAACCCUAGCAGCAACUUCUCGUAUAUAUCUCUAUCUCUCUCUCUCAUUGCUCGACCCCUCUGCUCCUCUAGGGUUUUCACCGUUGAAUCGUCAUUCAAGCUCGGGUUUUCACUCUUGGUCCACCGCGAUGACGAAAAACAGCUCUUGUGAGGAAGAUCCAACAUCUCUGAGCAGCGUCCUCCUACACCCACCUUCCGUCGUUGAUUCGCCGUCAAUUCGGCACAGAUUUGGCAGCGAUUGGCCAUAUUGUGAGGAAGGAACUGAGAGCGAAGGCUCCCCCGUUCACCCCGCCGCCUCCACCGACUCUCCGUCGAUUCGGCGGAGAUUGGUGUUCAAUCCGCCAUUUCUUGAGAAAAACUCUCAGAUCCAAGGCUUCCCCGUCGGAUGUGAACCUGUCGCAACCUCCAAUAACUCCCCGGCCUCUCCAGAAUCUCCGUCUGAAUCCACUGAGAACGAUGGGGAUCUCUCUGGGCUUAUUGCGGCCGACACACUGUCGUCGUGGUCCCUUGGAGUGUACGGCGCAAAUGCACUAGACGAUACGGACUUCGGUGGGUGGACGCCCGUCCCGAAAACGGAGGAGCAGCCUGUGAUGAAGAAGGAACUUACAAGAUUCCAAAUAUUGAAGCAUAUGUUUCCUUAUUCGGUGAGAAGUUUCCUUUUGGGAUUGUUCUCUGAUUUUUUAUGUGCUUACAGUGGGGAUUGAAGCAUGCAUGCAUUGUUGGUUGUUGGUAUAAAACGUG